RNAcentral lists this ribosomal RNA (2033 nucleotides) under human gut metagenome. RNAcentral describes it as "bacterial LSU rRNA". It matches the Rfam family "Bacterial large subunit ribosomal RNA", at positions 1 to 1977 of the family's 2925-position model. The record is from RNAcentral.
GCAAGAUACCACGGGCGCACGGCGGAUGCCUUGGCACAGGGAGCCGAUGAAGGACGCGGCAAGCUGCGAUAAUCCCCGGCGAGGAGCACACAUCCUUCGACCCGGGGGUCUCCGAAUGGGCGAACCCAUGCACAGCAGUGUGCAUAUCCCCGGCCUGAACGCAUAGGGCCGGGGAGGACAACCCGGGGAACUGAAACAUCUAAGUACCCGGAGGAGAGGAAAUCAAUCUCGAGACUCCCCGAGUAGCGGCGAGCGAAAGGGGACCGAUGGCCAAACCGUCGAGCGGGCGUACCCGGCAGGGGUUCCGCCGGCGGGGUUGCAGGGCCGCGCAUCCGGGGGCUGCCGCCCCCGGGCGCAGGUCCGGCUGGGGAGCGGAACGGCAUGGGAGGGCCGGCCGCAGCGGGUGACAGCCCCGUACGCGAACCCAGACCGGACGGCGCGACGCGGUCCCUGAGUAGGGCCGGGCACGUGAAACCCGGUCCGAACCUGGGUGGACCACCAUCCAAGCCUGAGUACUACCCUGUGACCGAUAGCGCACCAGUACCGUGAGGGAAAGGUGAAAAGCACCCCGGGAGGGGAGUGAAACAGUACCUGAAACCGUGCGCCCACGAGCAGUCGGAGCACCCAUUGGGUGUGACGGCGUGCCUUUUGUAGAAUGAGCCAGCGAGUCGCUGGCGCGGGGCGAGGUUAACCGAAAGGGAGCCGGAGCGAAAGCGAGCCUUAACAGGGCGACUUGAGUCCCGCGCCGCGGACGCGAAGCCGGGUGAGCUAUCCGUGGGCAGGCUGAAGCGGGGGUAAGACCCCGUGGAGGGCCGAACGCACGUCGGUUGAAAACGGCGGCGAUGACCUGCGGAUAGGGGUGAAAGGCCAAUCAAACCCGGAGAUAUCUCGUUCUCCCCGAAAUAGCUUUAGGGCUAGCGUCGCGCGUUCACCGCCGGAGGUAGAGCACCGGAUGGACGAGGGGGCUUCGCCGCCUACCGAAUCCAACCGAACUCCGAAUGCCGGCGGCCCAGAGCGCGGCAGUCAGAGCAUGUGGGCUAAGCUGUGUGCUCGAGAGGGAAACAGCCCGGACCGCCCGCUAAGGUCCCCAAGUUCCAGCCGAGUGGCAAAGGAUGUGCGUCCGCCCAGACAACCAGGAUGUUGGCUUAGAAGCAGCCAUGCAUUCAAAGAGUGCGUAACAGCUCACUGGUCGAGUGGACAUGCGCCGACAAUACACGGGGCUAAGCUGGACACCGAAGCGGCGGGAUUUUAUCUAUAGAAUCGGUAGGGGAGCUUCCCAUGGGCGGAGAAGCCGGAGGGCGACCGACGGUGGAGCGCAUGGGAGUGAGAAUGCUGGCAUGAGUAGCGAGAGACGAGAGAGUAACUCGUCCGCCGUGAACCCGAGGUUUCCUGGGCAAGGCUAAUCCUCCCAGGGUCAGUCGGGGGCUAAGGCGAGGCCGGGAGGCGUAGCCGACGCGCAGCAGGCAGACAUUCCUGCACCGCGCACGCGGCGCUACGACCGACGGGGCGACGGAUGGGGGUGGCUCGGCGGGGUUCUGGACGUCCCCGUGAUGGAGCGCGGCCCGCGGACCAGGGAAAUCCGGUCCGCAUCGAGGGCGAGGCUCCGGACGAAGCACUUAAGCGAAGCGAGUGAGCCCGAGGUCCCUAGAAAAACCCCUAGGCAGGCGCGUGCGCGCCCGUACCGCAAACCGACACAGGUGGGUGGGUAGAACAUACCGAGGCGAUCGGGUCAACCAUGGUCAAGGAACUCGGCACAAUGGCCCCGUAACUUCGGGAGAAGGGGUGCCCGCGCGUACGUGAACGGACUUGCUCCGGGAGCGGAGGCGGGCCGCAGUGGAGAGGCCCAAGCGACUGUUUACCAAAAACACAGGACUCUGCAGAAGCCGCAAGGCGACGUAUAGGGUCUGACGCCUGCCCGGUGCCGGAAGGUCACGCGGAGGAGUUAGCGCACCGCGCGAAGCCCCGAAGCCAAGCCCCGGUAAACGGCGGCCGUAACUAUAACGGUCCUAAGGUAGCGAAAUUCCUUGUCGGGU